This 449-nucleotide ribosomal RNA is filed under the name uncultured bacterium. Its description in RNAcentral is "partial 16S ribosomal RNA". It matches the Rfam family "Bacterial small subunit ribosomal RNA", at positions 328 to 794 of the family's 1533-position model. The record is from RNAcentral.
UCGCCAGACUCCUACGGGAGGCAGCAGUAGGGAAUAUUGCUCAAUGGGGGAAACCCUGAUGCAGCGACGCCGCGUGGGUGAAGAAGCGCCUCGGCGCGUAAAGCCCUGUCAGCAGGGAAGAAAAUGACGGUACCCGAAGAAGAAGCCCCGGCUAACUACGUGCCAGCAGCCGCGGUAAUACGUAGGGGGCAAGCGUUAUCCGGAUUUACUGGGUGUAAAGGGAGCGUAGACGGCGGCGCAAGUCCGGAGUGAAAGCCCACGGCCCAACCGUGGGACUGCUCUGGAAACUGUGCGGCUUGAGUGCGGGAGGGGCAGGCGGAAUUCCUAGUGUAGCGGUGAAAUGCGUAGAUAUUAGGAGGAACACCGGCGGCGAAGGCGGCCUGCUGGACCGUAACUGACGUUGAGGCCCGAAAGCGUGGGGGGCAAACAGGAUUAGAUACCCCCGUAGG